UAUGGGACAUUUUCAUGCAACUUUUUCGCCCGCUGUACGAAUAUCGUAAAUCCGAUUGCUAAGAAAAGUCAUAGCACACCUCUCCUCAAUAAGCCGCACGUUUUGACAUCUCAUUCAUGGGUCUGCGACAAAAAAUGCGGGAGGAGUAGCGCGCCAAAGUUUUGUCAAGGCGAAUAGUAAUAGUAACACUAGAAGGUACAUUUCCUGAAGAAAAUGUGAGUGGUGCUUGCAGUGGCAAAACUCGCCCCUCUGUUUCUAGGGUGUGGUUGCUAGGGUACCCGGGGUGGUUGCUAGGGCGGUUGCUAGGGUCCCCAUGAUGGUUGCUAGGGCCGUUGCUAGGGUACCCAGGGUGGUUGCUAGGGUAAUCGGGGUGGUUGCUAGGGUGUUGCUAUGUGGUUGCUAGGGUACCAGGGGUGGUUGCUAGGGCGGUUGCUAGGGUCCCCAUGAUGGUUGCUAGGGCCGUUGCUAGGGUACCCAGGGUGGUUGCUAGGGUAAUCGGGGUGGUUGCUAGGGUGUUGCUAUGUGGUUGCUAGGGUACCAGGGGUGGUUGCUAGGGCGGUUGCUAGGGUCCCCAUGAUGGUUGCUAGGGCCGUUGCUAGGGUACUCAGGGUGGUUGCUAGGGUAAUCGGGGGUGGUUGCUAGGGUGUUGCUAUGUGGUUGCUAGGGUACCCGGGGUGGUUGCUAGGGCGGUUGCUAGGGUCCCCAUGAUGGUUGCUAGGGCCGUUGCUAGGGUACCCAGGGUGGUUGCUAGGGUAAUCGGGGCGGUUGCUAGGGUGUUGCUAUGUGGUUGCUAGGGUACCCGGGGUGGUUGCUAGGGCGGUUGCUAGGGUCCCCAUGAUGGUUGCUAGGGCCGUUGCUAAGGUACCCAGGGUGGUUGCUAGGGUAAUUGGGGCGGUUGCUAGGGUGUUGCUAUGUGGUUGCUAGGGUACCCAGGGUGGUUGCUAGGCAGUUGCUAUGGUCUCCUGGGUGGUUGCUAUGAUGUUACUAGGUGGUUGGUAGUUGUCACAGAUGGUCACUAUGUAGUUAUUAUAGAGUUCUUAGCCCAUUUGAGCACUUAGCUAAUCACUAUUAGCAUGUAGCUAAUCACUGCUAGCAUGACUAGCAUGUUGGAAGUCCAGUGUGCUAGCAUGAGUCAAAAAAUCCAACCGCCAUGUCUGUACGAUGUUCUGAUGCAGAGAUAUAGGUCGUGCAAAACGGUUGCUAGGGUACUCCGUUUGGUUGCUAUGGAGUGGCUUGGCAGCUGCCAAUGGUGAUACUCCAAAGGCUGCUCGCCAAUAUAAACCAACCCCCAUGCCUCUACGAUGUUCUGAUGCAGAGAUAUAGAUCUUGCAAAACGGUUGCUAGGGUACUGUGUUUGGUUGCUAGGGAGUGGCCUGGCAGCUGCCAAUGAUGAUACUCCAAUGGUUGCUUGCUAAUAUAAACCAACCCCCAUGCUUCUAUGUCUUUCAGAUGUUAAGAUAUCUCUCUAUACUGUGGGUUGCUAGGUAGCUCUUAAUGGUUGCUAGGGCGUGGCUAGGUUGUCUUGAAGGAGAUACAUGAUUGGCCGUUUGCUGCCCGAGUCAAACGAGCCCACCCUCAUGUUUCUAUGACACUUCUAUCCAAAGUUAUUCAUUUGAUCUUUUUCAAUGGAAGUCUAUGGGGCUUGUUGCUAUGGCGCUCUAUAUGGUUGCUAGGGCGUGGCUUGAUAGCUUCAUAAUGAUCCUGAGAGUCUGAUUGGUUGCCUGAUUAAAAUGAGCCCACCCCCUUGUCUCUAUGACACUGUGAUCCAGAGUUAUGUUCAAUACAAAAUCCCUAUGUAAUGUCCCACAGUAGGAAAAGCCCUCCCUAUACUUUGUAUUAGGGGCAAAUUUGGGGGGCUCUAGCCCCCCAGGGGUACAACUUAUACCCCAAUGCGGGGUAUGUUCUUGCACAGCCUGAUAACCUCUCCACAUGUGGUGAUUCACGUGUUUCUGCGAAAUUUUCUCUCGGAGCUACGAUCCGUCAAAGUUGGCCGCAAUGCAUUGUCUAUGCGAUUUUUCGCCCGUUUUUUCGCCCGGUGUACGAACAUCGUACGCCCGAUCGCUUAUAAAAGUCAUAGCACACCAUUCCCGAUUAGGCCGCACGAUUUGACGCCUGUUUCGUUGGUCUGUGACAAAAACUGCGGGACUAGUUACGCGCCGAAAUUUGUACGGAAGAAUAAUAAUAAUAAGUAUAAGAAUAAUAAG
This is a long non-coding RNA of Carassius gibelio (silver crucian carp), 2204 nucleotides long. RefSeq lists it as uncharacterized. The transcript has 3 exons. The record is from RefSeq and is a predicted model, not a curated record. Lineage: Eukaryota; Metazoa; Chordata; Actinopteri; Cypriniformes; Cyprinidae.